Molecule: long non-coding RNA, 4108 nt
Organism: Esox lucius (northern pike)
Lineage: Eukaryota; Metazoa; Chordata; Actinopteri; Esociformes; Esocidae
Source: Ensembl
UUUCCAUUCAAAACAAUACAGAAAUUAAAUAAAGACAUGUCAUCAUAUCUUUUAUUUAAUGUAAAUAUAAGUAAAAAACUGAUGAAAUGGAGAUAUUUCAAAUGAGGUUUGAUACUGCCAAGUAAACCAACAACAUCUUUUAACAUUGAUUAUAAGUCCUACUUGCAUAGCAAUGCAUACUUGCAUUUCCCUGAAUGUUUGGAAAUAUAGUCACAUACAAACAUUGUGUAACAUGAAUACAAUUUGUAGACAAAGCAAAUGUCACAACACUCAAAAAUCCUGAUAAAUAGCUUGGAAUUAAUGAAUGGAAACAGAACUGUACACAUUCGAUUUGGAGAUACCAACACGUACAACAAUAUUAGUAUGUACAGUUGUGCUCAAAAGUUUGCAUACGCUUGGAGAAUUAAUAAUAUAUGUACGAUUUGUAAAGAAACCAUGAUUGAGCAGGCAAAACACGUCUUAUUUCUCAUGGGAUUCCCAUUUAACUGUAGGUCACAACAGAAUGGCACAAUCAUAAAACAAAACAUGGCAACAAAGAAAAAUGAAUGGACGCUUGUUCAAAAGUCUGCAUACCCUUAGUUCUUAAUACUGUGUAUUGGCCCCUUUAGCAUCAAUGACAGCAUGCAGUCUUUUGUAAUAGUUGUCUAUGAGGCCACAAAUUCUUGCAAGUGGUAUAGCUGCCCAUUUUUCUUGACAGAAUGCCUCCAGGUCAUGCAAAGCCUUUGGUCGUCUUGCAUGAACCGCACGUUUGAGUUCUCCUCAGUGGGGCUCGAUGAUAUUAAGGACUGGAGACUGUUCUCCAAACAUAACGCUUAUGGAUGUGACCAUAAAGCUCUAUUUUGGUCUUGUCACUCCAAAUUAGUGUGCCAGAAGCUGUGAGGCAUGUUAAGGUGUUGUUGGGCAUAUUGUAACCAGACUUUUAGUGGGAUUGGCACAGUAAAGGCUUCUAUCUGGCAACUUGACCAUGCAGCUCAUUUUUGUACAAGUAUCAUCGUAUUGUGCUCCUUGAAACAACCACACCUUUUCCCACAGCCUUUAUUUCUCCUGAGGUUACCUGUGGGUUUUCUUUGUAUCCCGAACAAUUAUUUUGGCAGUUUUAGUUGAAAUCUUUCUUGGUCGACCUGACCUCUGCUUGGUAUCAAGAGAUCCCUGAAUUUUCAACUUCUUAAUGAGUGACUGAACACUAAUGAUUGGCAUUUUCAAGGCUUUGGCUCUUUUUAUAUCCUUUUCCAUUUUUAUAAAGUUCCAUUACCUUGUUACACAGAUAUUUCGACAGUAAUUUUCUUCUCCCUUUGGCUCAAUAUCUAGCCUGCUCAGUGCAUCCACGUGAGAGCUAACAAACUCAUUGACUAUUUGACUAUACUUUAUAAAAAGCCACAGGUGUGGGAAAUUCACCUUUAAUUGCCAUUUUCACCUGUGUGUGUCACCUUGUGUCAGUUACAAGGCCAAACAUUCAAGGGUAUGUAAACUUUUGAUCAGGGCCAUUUGGGUGAUUUUUGUUAUCAUUAUGAUUUGAAAAGGAGCCAAACAACUAUGUGAUAAUACACGGCUUCAUAUGAUCACUAUCCUUAACUAAAAGACAGUUUUCUUGCAUGAUCAGUCAUAUUUUCAAAAUCAAUUCCUACAUUUCACAUUUUCUGCUGGGGUAUGCUAAUUUAUGAGCACAACUGUACCUUAGACACACCAGUGCCAUGUGUGUGUACCCCUUUAAGUACAUUUCAGUCCAUUUAAAUAAGGAAGUGGUCAGCUUUGUAAACCAAUGUAGUUUUGUGCUGCAACUUUUCGAAGAGAAAUGCAAAUGUUGUGCUCUGUGGGUAUUGUUGCCUAGUUACGGUUUCCGAAAUUAGGUAUGGGGUUGGCAUCUAUAAAUAUAGGUGUGUGUGUUACCAUUUAUUGCACCAUCUCCCCACUAUUUAAUCUCUUUCCCACCCAGAACAAAAUCAACUCAUGGUGAUAAUUGCUGUGUCAGUUGGUGCCCUUCUCUUAUCAGUGAUGCUGAUAACCAUCUGUAAAGUGAAGAGAUGCCCAGCAAAGCAGACACGGAACUCAGCCUGCAGGAUAAAGAUGGAGGCAAUUGAACCUGUGGAGACUCCUAACUCAUAACUGAGAGGAGAAUGUUGUUCUGUGUUCAUUCACAGGCGUAGUGGAGAAGUUAUUGAUUAGACACUGUGGAGAGAAUGUAUUCAUUUAGAGAAACCCAAAUGUGUACUGUACAUGUUUCUUCUACCUAGUUGGUGUGCUGAAGAGUGGAUUUGAAGAAAGAUAAUGAAUCACCGCUGUUUCAAAAUAAGGAAGUAAAACGAUACACUUGUGUUGCUGCACACUUUUGUCAGAGAAGCGGGAGGAGGGGUAGGUAAUGUUGAAACUACUCACUGUGACCUUUUUGUAAAAAAUAUAGACUGCAUGUAAAGUGAACAUUCAGUUGCAGCUGAGUAUGUCUUGCAUAGAAAGAAGUGUGGACAAUAUUAUUUGGGGUGCUUGUUUUUGGGCUCUGUUUGGGGUCAUUUCAAUGUUUUUUUAAUUUGCUUCCACUCAAUACUUUUUCUAGAUCCCCAAAUGUUCUCUGUUGUGUUCCCUCAAGUUACUGCAAGGCAAAAAUGAUAAACAAUAUCUGAACAGAAAUGAUGAAAUAUCUUACCAUGAGACACUUCUGCAACCAUUGCAAAUCCAAACAGCUCAAGUGUCUCUUGACACCAUCAUUUAAUAAAUGAGCCCCCUUGCUGGAAGAUUUUACUUCAGCGAUCUGAUGCAGCAAUGCAAAUAAAUGAAACGUUGUUAUAGAAGCUACCGAUGCAUCUCUCAUCCAUUUUGUUUCUGUAAAAAAAACUCAGAAGGAAAUUAGCUAAUUGUCUUUUUUCAGAAAAAAGGAAGAAAAGCCCUUAGUCAUUCUCCCCAUAGUCAUUGUAUCAUUUAAAAUCCAGUUUUUACAACAAAAGAAAAAUAAAUCAAAAAAGGUUUUGCAGUUCAAAUACUUACAUAGUUAAUUGUAUUUAUAGAAUUUGUCAUCUCAAUUAUUAUAUUUUUCACAGUCUCUAAUCACAGUCUGUAGGAAAAGACAACACAUCACAGCCAGUUCUGACUUGUUUUGACACUGUUGCUAUUUUCAACACUAACUAAAUACGCAUUUACAAAAGAAAUGCAGGGACAUUUGAUGGCUGAUUUAUUUUUGUUUUAGUAUUUAUUUUUUGGCUGAUUAUCCAAAUUUCAUCUUUAAAUAACUGGACUCAUUGAACAAAAGCUGGUGACGGUUUAGAUCUCUGGAAAUGAUCUACCAUUAAUGUAAUUUGAUGAGUUCACAGUUAGAUCAUGCAUGCACAGCUAAACUCCUGUCAAUGCUCAAAAUGCAAAUACGAUGUAAUGAUCUAAGGCGGAAAUCAGGCGAAUGUGUGUUCUGGAGAUGAGCUCAUAUGAACGUCCCUGAUAAUAAUAAAUACAAGUGGGUUCAAUUACAUGACUCAAAUUAUUUACACACAUUUGUCUUCUUUCUUAUAGCAGCAAUACAAUAAUUUUCUAUUUGUUCACCCUGAAUAACAGACUGUGCAUCCAAUCAGCAAUGAUUGUCUUGUACCCACCCUUUCUUUUUUGACUAAUGUUGUUGUUUCAUAUUAGGGGGAGUGCAUUCAUAUUCGGGGAAGGGGUAUUGUAUUGAAUUGGGAAUAUGUCAUCGUAUUAGUGGUUAUGUUUUCAUAUUGGGGGCGUGCGUUCAUAUUUGGGGAAGAGGUAUUGAAUUGAAUUGGGAGUGUGUCGUCUUGUUAGUGGUUAUGUUGUGCAUUAUUAUUUAAGUGGUGGUUUUAGUGAUUUGGGGGCCCCUAGGCAGAGACUGGUUGAGGCCCCAACAUCAUCUAUUUGUUACCUACUGUCCUUAUAAAAGCCAUACUGGCAACAUUUUGAACAUACCUUCUUUCUUUAUUGUUGAAUGGGACUGCCAAAAGACACUUCCAAAGACACUUUGGAAUCACUUCCCCUUUUGGUAUAUCAAUUAGUUUAAAAAUAACAUUAUUAUAAUUAUCUGCAGGGUUCAUACUGCCUUAUAAUUGGUUACGACUACAGUGAAGCACAAAGCACUUAGCCAUUUUGUUCAAGUGUAGUUUCUUAAUCAUGAUCAAUA